UACGUAGGGGGCUAGCGUUGUCCGGAAUCAUUGGGCGUAAAGAGCGUGUAGGCGGCCCGGUAAGUCCGCUGUGAAAGUCGGGGGCUCAACCCUCGAAUGCCGGUGGAUACUGUCGGGCUAGAGUGCGGAAGAGGCGAGUGGAAUUCCUGGUGUAGCGGUGAAAUGCGCAGAUAUCAGGAGGAACACCAAUGGCGAAGGCAGCUCGCUGGGACGGUACUGACGCUGAGGCGCGAAAGCGUGGGGAGCAAACAGG
Molecule: ribosomal RNA, 253 nt
Filed under: uncultured bacterium
Lineage: Bacteria
Description: partial 16S ribosomal RNA
Rfam family: Bacterial small subunit ribosomal RNA
Source: RNAcentral